UUAAGUUCAGCGGGUAUUCCUACCUGAUCCGAGGUCAACCUUUCAGAAGUUGGGGGUUUUACGGCGUGGCCGCGCCGCGUUCCACUGCGAGGUGUGCUACUACGCAGAGGAGGCUACAGCGAGACCGCCACUGAAAUUCGGGGACGGCCACCGGGUGAGCGGCGGCCGAGCCCCAACACCAAGCCCGGGGGCUUGAGGGU
RNAcentral lists this unclassified non-coding RNA (200 nucleotides) under Nectriaceae sp. RNAcentral's name for it is "partial internal transcribed spacer 2". The record is from RNAcentral. Lineage: Eukaryota; Fungi; Ascomycota; Sordariomycetes; Hypocreales; Nectriaceae.